Molecule: transfer RNA, 93 nt
Filed under: Armatimonadota bacterium
Lineage: Bacteria; Bacillati; Armatimonadota
Description: Armatimonadetes bacterium (fermentation metagenome) tRNA-Ser
Rfam family: tRNA
About the family: Transfer RNA (tRNA) molecules are approximately 80 nucleotides in length. Their secondary structure includes four short double-helical elements and three loops (D, anti-codon, and T loops). Further hydrogen bonds mediate the characteristic L-shaped molecular structure. tRNAs have two regions of fundamental functional importance: the anti-codon, which is responsible for specific mRNA codon recognition, and the 3' end, to which the tRNAs corresponding amino acid is attached (by aminoacyl-tRNA synthetases). tRNAs cope with the degeneracy of the genetic code in two manners: having more than one tRNA (with a specific anti-codon) for a particular amino acid; and 'wobble' base-pairing, i.e. permitting non-standard base-pairing at the 3rd anti-codon position.
Source: RNAcentral
GGAGCGGUGUCCGAGUUGGUCGAAGGAGCACGACUGGAAAUCGUGUAGUGGGCUAACGCCUGCUCGUGGGUUCGAAUCCCACCCGCUCCGCCA